RNAcentral lists this ribosomal RNA (584 nucleotides) under uncultured bacterium. RNAcentral's name for it is "bacterial SSU rRNA". It matches the Rfam family "Bacterial small subunit ribosomal RNA", at positions 103 to 685 of the family's 1533-position model. The record is from RNAcentral.
CGGGUGAGUAACACGUAUCCAACCUUCCGUUUACUCAGGGAUAGCCUUUCGAAAGAAAGAUUAAUACCUGAUAGUAUGGUGAGAUUGCAUGAUAACACCAUUAAAGAUUUAUUGGUAAACGAUGGGGAUGCGUUCCAUUAGGUAGUAGGCGGGGUAACGGCCCACCUAGCCUGCGAUGGAUAGGGGUUCUGAGAGGAAGGUCCCCCACAUUGGAACUGAGACACGGUCCAAACUCCUACGGGAGGCAGCAGUGAGGAAUAUUGGUCAAUGGGCGAGAGCCUGAACCAGCCAAGUAGCGUGAAGGAUGAAGGUCCUACGGAUUGUAAACUUCUUUUAUACGGGAAUAAAGUUUCCUACGUGUAGGAUUUUGUAUGUACCGUAUGAAUAAGCAUCGGCUAACUCCGUGCCAGCAGCCGCGGUAAUACGGAGGAUGCGAGCGUUAUCCGGAUUUAUUGGGUUUAAAGGGAGCGCAGACGGGAGAUUAAGUCAGUUGUGAAAGUUUGCGGCUCAACCGUAAAAUUGCAGUUGAUACUGGUUUCCUUGAGUGCAGUUGAGGCAGGCGGAAUUCGUGGUGUAGCGGUGAA